This 45-nucleotide non-coding RNA is filed under the name Schistosoma curassoni. Lineage: Eukaryota; Metazoa; Platyhelminthes; Trematoda; Strigeidida; Schistosomatidae. The record is from RNAcentral.
AUCCAGCUGUUAGGUCCCAAAUAGGAUGAAAUGCGCGUCUUGGAU